This is a long non-coding RNA of Sander lucioperca (pikeperch), 220 nucleotides long. RefSeq lists it as uncharacterized. NCBI's taxonomy places the organism in Eukaryota, Metazoa, Chordata, Actinopteri, Perciformes, Percidae. The record is from RefSeq and is a predicted model, not a curated record. The transcript has 3 exons.
CAAGUCCAAAGAGGUACAAUUAUUUGGGGUUAUUAUUUGUUGAUCUAAAAGCAAAAACAGUGUCACAACACCCAGGAUUUGUAAGUACAGCCAUUCCCCUUGAUAUCAUAUAAUCUAAUCUAAAGAGAACAGAUAUGGUGAUACCUCAUAAUAGCAAUAGCAAACACCAAUCCACUACUACUCUACUACUACUACCACUGCUAGGUACUAGUACUGAGCA